GACGAACGCUGGCGGCGUGCUUAACACAUGCAAGUCGAACGGAAAGGCCCUGCUUUUGUGGGGUGCUCGAGUGGCGAACGGGUGAGUAACACGUGAGUAACCUGCCCUUGACUUUGGGAUAACUUCAGGAAACUGGGGCUAAUACCGGAUAGGAGCUCCUGCUGCAUGGUGGGGGUUGGAAAGUUUCGGCGGUUGGGGAUGGACUCGCGGCUUAUCAGCUUGUUGGUGGGGUAGUGGCUUACCAAGGCUUUGACGGGUAGCCGGCCUGAGAGGGUGACCGGCCACAUUGGGCCUGGGGUACGGCCCAGACUCCUACGGGAGGCAGCAGUGGGGAAUAUUGCACACUGGGCGGAAGCCUGAUGCAGCAACGCCGCGUGCGGGAUGACGGCCUUCGGGUUGUAAACCGCUUUCGCCUGUGACGAAGCGUGAGUGACGGUAAUGGGUAAAGAAGCACCGGCUAACUACGUG
This 468-nucleotide ribosomal RNA is filed under the name uncultured bacterium. RNAcentral describes it as "partial 16S ribosomal RNA". It matches the Rfam family "Bacterial small subunit ribosomal RNA", at positions 28 to 507 of the family's 1533-position model. The record is from RNAcentral.